Molecule: ribosomal RNA, 799 nt
Filed under: uncultured marine group I thaumarchaeote
Lineage: Archaea; Thermoproteati; Nitrososphaerota
Description: bacterial SSU rRNA
Rfam family: Archaeal small subunit ribosomal RNA
Source: RNAcentral
AGAAUAAUCUCGGGAAACUGAGGAUAAUACUCGAUAGACCAUCAUUCCUGGAAUGGUUGGUGGUUGAAAUGAUUCGUCGCCAUAGGAUAGGACCGCGGCCUAUCAGCUUGUUGGUGAGGUAAUGGCCCACCAAGGCGAUUACAGGUACGGGCUCUGAGAGGAGAAGCCCGGAGAUGGGUACUGAGACACGGACCCAGGUCCUAUGGGGCGCAGCAGGCGAGAAAACUUUGCAAUGUGCGAAAGCACGACAAGGUUAAUCCGAGUGUUUUCUGCUAAAGAAAUCUUUUGCCAGUCAUAAAACCACUGGUGAAUAAGGGGUGGGCAAGUUCUGGUGUCAGCCGCCGCGGUAAAACCAGCACCUCAAGUGGUCAGGAUGAUUAUUGGGCCUAAAGCAUCCGUAGCCGGCUAUGUUAGUUUUCGGUUAAAUCCAUGUGCUCAACACAUGGGCUGCCGAAAAUACUGCAUAGCUAGGGAGUGGGAGAGGUAGACGGUACUCAGUAGGAAGGGGUAAAAUCCUUUGAUCUAUUGAUGACCACCUGUGGCGAAGGCGGUCUACCAGAACACGUUCGACGGUGAGGGAUGAAAGCUGGGGGAGCAAACCGGAUUAGAUACCCGGGUAGUCCCAGCUGUAAACGAUGCAGACUCGAUGAUGCAUUGGCAUAUAGCCAGUGCAGUGUCGCAGGGAAGCCGUUAAGUCUGCCGCCUGGGAAGUACGUACGCAAGUAUGAAACUUAAAGGAAUUGGCGGGGGAGCACCACAAGGGGUGAAGCCUGCGGUUCAAUUGGAUUCAACGCCGGGA